AGUGAACGCUGGCGGCGUGCCUAAUACAUGCAAGUCGAACGGAGAUUAAGUAGCUUGCUAUUUACUCUUAGUGGCGCACGGGUGAGUAAUAUAUGGCUAACUUGCCCAUUACUAAGGGACAACAGUUGGAAACGACUGCUAAUACCUUAUACUCCGUCUCUAUAUACGUAGAUCCGGGAAAGUUUUUCGGUAAUGGAUAGGGCUAUAUCGUAUCAGCUCGUUGGUAAGGUAAUGGCUUACCAAGGCUAUGACGCGUAACUGGGCUGAGAGGAUGAUCAGUAACAUGGGAACAGAGACACGGUCCAGACUCCUACGGGAGGCAGCAGUAGGGAAGAAUAAUAAAUGGGGGAAACAAUGAAGCAGCAACGCCGCGUGGAGAAUGACACUUUGCGGAGCGUAAACUCCUUUUAUUGGGAAAGAAUUAUGACGGUACCGAAGGAAUAAGCACCGGCUAACUCCGUG
Molecule: ribosomal RNA, 462 nt
Filed under: uncultured bacterium
Lineage: Bacteria
Description: partial 16S ribosomal RNA
Rfam family: Bacterial small subunit ribosomal RNA
Source: RNAcentral